UCACAGCGGGGCCCCCAAAUUUUUUGGGCGGGCCGGUGAGUAUCACAUAGGAAACCUGCCCUUAAUACUGGGACAAAUCCGGAUAACCGUGGCUAAUACGUGCUAACAUUUCAUAACCGCAUGGUUCGAAAGUGAAAGGCGUCUUCGGCUGUCACUUAUGGAUGGACCGGCNNCACACUAGCUACUUUAUGAGGUAACGGCUCACCAAGGCAACCAUGCCUACCCUACCUGACAGAGUGAUCAGCCAGACUGGGACUGAUACACCUCCCACACUCCUACGAGACGUACCAGUAGGGAAUCUUCCGCAAUGUACGAAAGUCUGACGGAUCAACCCCACGUGAGUGAUGAAGGCUUUCAAGUCUUAAAACUCUGUUGUUACGGAAGAACAAGUGCUACUUGAAUAAUCUGGCCCCUUGACCGCACCUAACCAUAAAACCACGGCUAACUACGUGCCAACAUCCCCGCUAAUACGUAAGUGCCUAGCGUUUAUCCCGAUUUCUUGGAACUUAUUAGCGCGCGCANCGAGCUCUUCUUCAGUUUUGAUGUGAAAACACCCCCGGACUCAACCGUGUAAGGGGGCAUUGGGAAACCUGGGAAAACUUUGAAAUA
RNAcentral lists this ribosomal RNA (609 nucleotides) under Bacillus sp. (in: firmicutes). RNAcentral's name for it is "bacterial SSU rRNA". The stretch from base 1 to 491 matches the Rfam family "Bacterial small subunit ribosomal RNA", at positions 80 to 546 of the family's 1533-position model. Lineage: Bacteria; Bacillati; Bacillota; Bacilli; Caryophanales; Bacillaceae. The record is from RNAcentral.